UCCCGACCCGAAAUGAAAUCGAGCAGAAAUCGAAAAACCCUAGUCUCUCUUCGUUCGUCCUUUUGUUCUUCAUCAGUUCAUCUUCGCUGUACGUUCCCGACUGAAAUCGAAAAUCUCUCAACUCAGUUCAUCGGUGAUCAGUCAUCGCAAGUUUCGUCUCCUGCUUUGAGCUCGAUCAUCGCAAGUUUCAUCUUCUCCUUCGAGCGAUAAAGUUGGCUCCAUCCUCUUCUUCUUUGAGUUGCAGAGUCCAGACCAAAGUCAUUCCUCUUCUCCUUCGAGCAAUAGAGUCCAAAGUGUCAGAAGAUUCCUUUUCUCCUUCCAUCAUUCGAGCAGUAGCUUCUGUGAUUGCAGAGUCUAGGCCAGAGUCUCCAGCAUCCAAACUGACGACGGCACGGCAGCAGUUCGAGCACGGUUGCUAGCUAGACAAUGAAUUCUGUUGGUGCCAGCAACAGCAACACACCCAUGCUUCAGAUGGUUGGAUUAAGGAUGUGUAUGCCCUCAUUCUUUUGUUGCAAACAAGGGUGCUUCAUGUAAGAGUUACAUUUUUUAUUCAUGAUGUAAGAGCUACUAUUUUGGAAAUUAAUGUAGUAAUGCUUUGGACGUUA
Molecule: non-coding RNA, 605 nt
Organism: Punica granatum (pomegranate)
Lineage: Eukaryota; Viridiplantae; Streptophyta; Magnoliopsida; Myrtales; Lythraceae
Source: RefSeq, a predicted model, not a curated record